This 509-nucleotide ribosomal RNA is filed under the name uncultured bacterium. Its description in RNAcentral is "bacterial SSU rRNA". It matches the Rfam family "Bacterial small subunit ribosomal RNA", at positions 20 to 518 of the family's 1533-position model. The record is from RNAcentral.
UGGCUCAGGACGAACGCUGGCGGCGUGCUUAACACAUGCAAGUCGAACGGAGUUAAGCGCUGGUCUGAUGGUAGCUUGCUACCGGAUUCCUUGCUUAACUUAGUGGCGGACGGGUGAGUAACGCGUGAGUAACCUGCCCCGAAGUGGGGAAUAACGUUCUGAAAAGAUCGCUAAUACCGCAUAACACAUACUGAUCGCAUGGUUGGUAUGUCAAAGAUUUAUCGCUUCGGGAUGGACUCGCGUCCGAUUAGCUUGUUGGCGGGGUAACGGCCCACCAAGGCGACGAUCGGUAGCCGGACUGAGAGGUUGAACGGCCACAUUGGGACUGAGACACGGCCCAGACUCCUACGGGAGGCAGCAGUGGGGGAUAUUGCGCAAUGGGGGGAAACCCUGACGCAGCAACGCCGCGUGGAGGAUGACGGUUUUCGGAUUGUAAACUCCUUUUAUAAGGGACGAACUAAGACGGUACCUUAUGAAUAAGCUCCGGCUAACUACGUGCCAGCAGCCGC